RNAcentral lists this ribosomal RNA (669 nucleotides) under Triticum aestivum (bread wheat). RNAcentral's name for it is "partial small subunit ribosomal RNA". Lineage: Eukaryota; Viridiplantae; Streptophyta; Magnoliopsida; Poales; Poaceae. The record is from RNAcentral.
AUGGCGGACGCCCCGCCGAGUUCCGGCGGCCUGGCCGUCGACCCGCCCGCAAAGGUGAAGAAGAAGGCACCAAGGAAGCCGCAGUCGGAGUGCACGCCGGAGGAGAUCGCCAAGUUGGACGCGGAAUCGGCGAAGAGGAGGAAACGGAGAGCGGUCGUCAAGGUCAAUGCCGCCGCGGCCAAGUUUGCCGCCCAGCGCGAGGAGCUGGAGGCCGUGCGGCGCAAGGCCUCUGCCGACGAGAAGGAGGACCUCCUCAACAAAGCGCACGCCAUCCUCAUGCUUGGCAUGGGCCGUCCGGCCGGGUUCCCUACAGCGGCCGCCGGCCCCGCGAGCACAGGCUCGUCGGUCGCCCGGCCUCCGCAUUGCCAGUCGCCGACGUCGCGGACCGCGCCCAUGUCGCCCGGCUUUACUCCAUCAAGGCACGACGGCCAGACCCGUUUCUCGGGGUCACCGGACGUGGGCUUGUUCGCGCCGUCCACACCGCGUCACGCGGCCAUCAUCGACCUCAACGUCACGCCUGGGUCCAACAGUGGCGGUCGGGCAUCCGUCGAGAUGCAAAGAAAGCAAGCACGGGCACCGUUCACGGGCACCAUGCCGGCCCCCGCGUCUUGUUUGACGGAAUGCCAACGGUCGACGACCCCUUCUACAACCAGUACAUUAAGGACAUGA